Molecule: long non-coding RNA, 693 nt
Organism: Frankliniella occidentalis (western flower thrips)
Lineage: Eukaryota; Metazoa; Arthropoda; Insecta; Thysanoptera; Thripidae
Exons: 3
Source: RefSeq, a predicted model, not a curated record
AACUGUGGUCGUCCUUCUCGCGCUGAGAAGUCUGUGGCGCCGAAAGAUGCGAGUGCCCGUGUGAAGGAGAACGUCGGCCUGCCCUCCUCUCAAAAGACUUCUGCGACACGGGGGAAGCAGCAGGCUCGGGCACCACCGACGGGGACAUGCGAGCCGCCAGCUGACCCUGAGCAAGGUAAAGUAUAAAGGCUCGAUGUAGGCCGUAGUAGUCUUGGCGCCAACGGUUGUGAUGGUGAUGCUCGGGUCUCACUACCUAUCGCGGUACUACCAAACGGCUGCCGACGUUACCUUUGUGUUUCUCUGGUGUUCUCAGACCCAGGACCCUCCACCUCCGCCCAGGCUCAGGGCGCCGCCCGCCCCGCCCGCUACCCGAAGAGGGCCGCCAGUCGGGGCAAGGUUUACACGGAGUCCCCCGCGCUGGACGCCGACGAUUUCUUGUUUUGCGACGACUGCGACAGGGAGUGGGAGGGCGACUGCCCCGAGCACGGACCUCUCCACACCAUCGAGGACGCAGAGGUACCCGACGCCCACCCCGAGCGAGCGCUGAAGAGUGUGCCCAGUUGCCUGGCCGUGCUCGAGAGCAAGAUCACCGGCGCAGGCCUGGGCGUCUGGACCAAGCAGGCCAUCCCGCGCCGAGUGCGCUUCGGACCGUACGUCGGGGACAUCACCAAGAAGAUGCAGACGGGCUACGGC